AACAUUUCAUAUUCUUUUGGUGAUUUUACUUCUCGCAUCUCUUGUUCAUUAGCAUUGUCCUUUCUUCCACUUCACUAACUAUAGAGUCUAGUGGAGGUCAGGCCAACAUGUAAUUAAAAGGUUUUAUUGGUGCAUUCAUGUAAUUAUGCACCCAUGCAUUAAAUAGCAAAAGUUCUAAAAGGAGAAAAUAUGCACCUACUGCCUAAGUAAUUAGAAGAACCCUAAUUUGGGUAAAAUGCUAGAAAUAGUGUCCAAUCUGUCACCUUUUCAUGCCAUUGUUUAGUGGCAAUGUUUAUCAUCAAGAAUGUAAGGUUUUGAGUUUGAGUUAUAGUCAAAAUUAAAAUUAAAAAAAAAAAGUGAAUUAUUAACCCAAU
This 374-nucleotide unclassified non-coding RNA is filed under the name Hevea brasiliensis (rubber tree). Lineage: Eukaryota; Viridiplantae; Streptophyta; Magnoliopsida; Malpighiales; Euphorbiaceae. The record is from RNAcentral.